UUGAUCCUACGGGGGGCAGCAGUGAGGAAUAUUGGUCAAUGGUCGGGAGACUGAACCAGCCAAGCCGCGUGAGAGAGGAAGGUACAGAGUAUCGUAAACCUCUUUUGUCAGGGAACAAAGACUGGGACGCGUCCCGGAUGAGUGUACCUGAAGAAAAAGCAUCGGCUAACUACGUGCCAGCAGCCGCGGUAAUACGGAGGAUGCGAGCGUUAUCAGGAUUUAUUGGGUUU
This 230-nucleotide ribosomal RNA is filed under the name uncultured bacterium. RNAcentral describes it as "partial 16S ribosomal RNA". It matches the Rfam family "Bacterial small subunit ribosomal RNA", at positions 333 to 561 of the family's 1533-position model. The record is from RNAcentral.